Molecule: ribosomal RNA, 233 nt
Filed under: uncultured bacterium
Lineage: Bacteria
Description: partial 16S ribosomal RNA
Rfam family: Bacterial small subunit ribosomal RNA
Source: RNAcentral
CAAUACUAUUAGUGGCAAACGGGUGAGUAAUACGUAGGAAUCUCCCCUAUAGUACGGAACAACAGUUGGAAACGACUGCUAAUACCGUAUACGCUCUUCGAAGGAAAGAUUUAUCGCUAUAGGAUGAGCCUGCGCUAAAUUAGAUUGUUGGUGGGGUAAUGGCCUACCAAGUCGAUGAUUUAUAGCUGGUCUGAGAGGACGAUCAGCCACACUGGAACUGAGAAACGGUCCAG